GCUAGCGGCAGGCCUAACACAUGCAAGUCGAGGGGUAACAGAAAGCUUGCUUCUGCUGACGACCGGCGCACGGGUGCGUAACGCGUAUGCAACCUACCUUAUACAGGAGAAUACCCCUUGGAAACGAGGAAUAAUGCUCCAUAGUAUCAUCACUUCGCAUGUUGAGAUGAUUAAAGAAUUUCGGUAUAAGAUGGGCAUGCGUCCCAUUAGCUUGUUGGUGAGGUAACGGCUCACCAAGGCUACGAUGGGUAGGGGGCCUGAGAGGGUGGUCCCCCACACUGGUACUGAGACACGGACCAGACUCCUACGGGAGGCAGCAGUGAGGAAUAUUGGUCAAUGGAGGCAACUCUGAACCAGCCAUGCCGCGUGAAGGAUGACGGCCCUAUGGGUUGUAAACUUCUUUUGAAUAGGAAGAAACUUAUCUACGUGUAGAUAACUGACGGUACUAUUAGAAUAAGGAUCGGCUAACUCCGUGCCAGCAGCCGCGGUAAUACGGAGGAUCCAAGCGUUAUCCGGAUUCAUUGGGUUUAAAGGGUCCGUAGGCGGGUCUUUAAGUCAGUGGUGAAAGCCGACAGCUCAACUGUCGAACUGCCAUUGAUACUGGAGACCUUGAGUACAAAUGAAGUA
RNAcentral lists this ribosomal RNA (627 nucleotides) under uncultured Bacteroidota bacterium. RNAcentral's name for it is "bacterial SSU rRNA". It matches the Rfam family "Bacterial small subunit ribosomal RNA", at positions 35 to 659 of the family's 1533-position model. Lineage: Bacteria; Pseudomonadati; Bacteroidota. The record is from RNAcentral.